Molecule: ribosomal RNA, 254 nt
Filed under: uncultured bacterium
Lineage: Bacteria
Description: partial 16S ribosomal RNA
Rfam family: Bacterial small subunit ribosomal RNA
Source: RNAcentral
UACGGAGGAUCCAAGCGUUAUCCGGAAUUACUGGGCGUAAAGAGUUGCGUAGGUGGCAGAGUAAGUAGGUAGUGAAAGCGUUCGGCUCAACCGGAUACACAUUAUCUAAACUGCUCCGCUAGAGGAUGAGAGAGGUUAUUGGAAUUCCCAGUGUAGGAGUGAAAUCCGUAGAUAUUGGGAGGAACACCGAUGGCGUAGGCAGAUAACUGGCUCAUUCCUGACACUAAGGCACGAAAGCGUGGGGAGCAAACGGG